GGCGACGUAGCUCAGCGGUUAGAGCGGGCGCUUCAUAAGCGCUAGGCCGGAGGUUCAAUUCCUCCCGUCGCCACCA
This 76-nucleotide transfer RNA is filed under the name Chloroflexota bacterium. Its description in RNAcentral is "tRNA-Met". It matches the Rfam family "tRNA". Rfam says of the family: Transfer RNA (tRNA) molecules are approximately 80 nucleotides in length. Their secondary structure includes four short double-helical elements and three loops (D, anti-codon, and T loops). Further hydrogen bonds mediate the characteristic L-shaped molecular structure. tRNAs have two regions of fundamental functional importance: the anti-codon, which is responsible for specific mRNA codon recognition, and the 3' end, to which the tRNAs corresponding amino acid is attached (by aminoacyl-tRNA synthetases). tRNAs cope with the degeneracy of the genetic code in two manners: having more than one tRNA (with a specific anti-codon) for a particular amino acid; and 'wobble' base-pairing, i.e. permitting non-standard base-pairing at the 3rd anti-codon position. Lineage: Bacteria; Bacillati; Chloroflexota. The record is from RNAcentral.